AACCCGCUUGAGUCAGCUUCUGCAUUGUGGAAGGUUUGUUCUUUCUCUCUUUGCAGUAAAUCUUACUGCUGCUCACUUUUUGGGUCCACACUGCGUUUAUUAGCUGCAACGCUCACCGCUAUGGUCUGCAGCUUCACUCCUGAAGCCAGCGAGACCACGAACCCACCAGAAUGAAGAAACUCCGAACACAUCCAAACAUCAGAAGGAACAAACUCCGGACAGGCGGCCUUUAAGAACUGUAACACUCACCUCGAGGGUCUGCGGCUUCAUUCUUGAAGUCAGUGAGACCAAGAACCCACCAAUUCCGGACACAAUGUUACUCCAGAUAAUCAGCGCCAUUUUCUGAAGCUUGAGAUGCAGGAAAAGAGGAGUGCUAUCCAUUAGAUGGAGACAGGAAGUAGAAAAAGAGCUUAAAGUUUUGGCUUGUGUUACUUCCUUGGGG
This 442-nucleotide long non-coding RNA is filed under the name Homo sapiens (human). RNAcentral describes it as "non-protein coding lnc-INSC-2:12". Lineage: Eukaryota; Metazoa; Chordata; Mammalia; Primates; Hominidae. The record is from RNAcentral.